UAUGUGUGUGUGUGUGUGUAUGUAUGUGUAUAUAUGUGUGUGUGUGUAUAUAUAUAUAUGUGUGUGUGUGUGUGUGUGUAUGUAUGUACACACACACACACACACAAACACACAGG
Molecule: non-coding RNA, 116 nt
Organism: Podarcis lilfordi (Lilford's wall lizard)
Lineage: Eukaryota; Metazoa; Chordata; Lepidosauria; Squamata; Lacertidae
Source: the annotation of a GenBank genome assembly